AUGCUCACCUUGCCGCGCCGCCUUACUGCUUCUGCACCAUCCUCAGGUUCUACUGGUCAGAUGUCUGGUCCACCACCGCACUCUUCUUCAAGUACAUCUUUGCCUUGGAUUCUUGAUUCUGGGGCCUCCUUCCACAUGACACCACAUAGAGAUCACCUUUGUGCUGUCAACUUUGUGCCUUCUCCACUUACGGUUCAGACUGCGGAUGACACUUCUCUUCCUAUUGCCGCAAGAGGGACUCUUUCCAUGUGUUCUUUUCAUGUCCCUGCCGUUUCCCAUGUUCCUAAACUAACUAUGCAACUUCUAUCUGCUGGUCAACUUACUGACUUGGGUUGUCGUGUUAUUUUGGAUUCUGACUCUUGUUGUGUUUAG
This 372-nucleotide ribosomal RNA is filed under the name Triticum aestivum (bread wheat). Its description in RNAcentral is "partial small subunit ribosomal RNA". The record is from RNAcentral. Lineage: Eukaryota; Viridiplantae; Streptophyta; Magnoliopsida; Poales; Poaceae.